Molecule: ribosomal RNA, 301 nt
Filed under: uncultured bacterium
Lineage: Bacteria
Description: partial 16S ribosomal RNA
Rfam family: Bacterial small subunit ribosomal RNA
Source: RNAcentral
CAGUCGCCGCGGGAAUACGAAGGGGGCUAGCGUUGUUCGGAAUUACUGGGCGUAAAGCGCACGUAGGCGGACAUUUAAGUCAGGGGUGAAAUCCCGGGGCUCAACCCCGGAACUGCCUUUGAUACUGGGUGUCUAGAGUAUGGAAGAGGUGAGUGGAAUUCCGAGUGUAGAGGUGAAAUUCGUAGAUAUUCGGAGGAACACCAGUGGCGAAGUCGGCUCACUGGUCCAUUACUGACGCUGAGGUGCGAAAGCGUGGGGAGCAAACAGGAUUAGAUACCCCUGUAGUCCCUGUCUCUUAUAC